Molecule: long non-coding RNA, 293 nt
Organism: Bombina bombina (fire-bellied toad)
Lineage: Eukaryota; Metazoa; Chordata; Amphibia; Anura; Bombinatoridae
Exons: 3
Source: RefSeq, a predicted model, not a curated record
CUACAAGAGGAAAUGGUUGUAGCAGAAUAGCAGGCAGCUAUUCAAUACACAAUCUCGGGGGUGAGAAUGGGUGUCUGUUCUCUGCACUGUUUUUAUGACAUGGCUCACUUCAGGAUGAAGAAUGUACAGAUGUACUGGUCUGGGGAAUUCAAAAAGACUGUAGAAAAUUUCUCCAGCCCAUCAAAGCAAAUAUAUACACAGGACUGCCAAAACGUGAUCCCAGAUAAGGAGCGCAGUGUAAAGUCGGGUUACCAUAGCAACUAACCUGACUUCUAAGAAAUCCGGCAUCAGAG